Molecule: ribosomal RNA, 332 nt
Filed under: uncultured bacterium
Lineage: Bacteria
Description: bacterial SSU rRNA
Rfam family: Bacterial small subunit ribosomal RNA
Source: RNAcentral
UGCGCAGGCGGCUGAGUGUGUCGGAUGUGAAAUUUUGGGGCUUAACUCCAAAACUGCGUCCGAAACUACUCAGCUAGAGGCUCGGAGAGGUAAGCGGAAUUCCAGGUGUAGCAGUGAAAUGCGUAGAUAUCUGGAGGAACACCAAAGGCGAAGGCAGCUUACUGGACGAGUACUGACGCUAAGGCACGAAAGCGUGGGGAGCAAAAGGGAUUAGAUACCCCUGUAGUCCACGCCCUAAACUUUGUACACUAGGUCUUGGGACAUUCGACCGUUUCAGGAUCCAAGCUAACGCGAUAAGUGUACCGCCUGAGGACUACGGCCGCAAGGCUAAA